AUCAAACUGCUGGGUCCUAACUUCAUCCCCUGUACUGGGUCGUGACAAGGGUGUAUUUACCAGAGGUCACCGAAGUCACUUUCUCUCAUUAAUGUAAAAACAUUUUUUUUAACUAAAUGUGUCAGUGCUGUCACAAUGGAUUGUUAUUCUAUAAUAUUUGAUUUCAUUCUAUAUUCGAUAUAUAAUUGCAUGAAACUGUGAAGUGCAAUUCACUGAAACAUAUUUACACAAUAAAGAGAGUAAUGGCGUCUUUUUGUAGGUACCAACUCGGUCAUGGCUAGAAGGGAUCCAGCUUCUGUUCUGAGAUAAAUAAAUAAAAAACAUGUUUUUACCUUUUAUUUAACUAGGCAAGUCAGUGAAGAACAAAUUCUUAUUUACAAUGACGACCUAGUAACAGUGAGUUACCUGUCUUGUUCAGGGGCAGAACGACAGAUUAUUAAACAUGUCAACUCGGGAUUAGUUCUAACAACCUUUCGGUUACUAGUCCAAAACUCUAACCGCUAGUCUACCUGCCGCCCCGAUCGUCACUUUUUGAAUUUUUAAGCAUUUAUGAAAAAAUACAUAAAGGCUUCAUCAUUUAUAAUACUCAGGUUACCUGGCUGAUUGUUUUAUGAACAAAUCCUAUAAAAUCUCAACCUGUGUUAAUCUCAGACCUUAUUUCAGAGUUUAUUCCAAACCCCUAUUCUUUCCCCAUUCAUUUUGCCGAUAGGAAUUUCUGAACGAACCAGAGGUAAAUCAUUUACGUUUUUUAGGACUACAAGCUGGCUAGCUCUAUAUUGCACAAUAUAUAGUCACAUAUUUUUUUAUAACUAACCCAUGAUAGACGUUUCCAAUGUGAUUAAAUUAAUCAUUGUGGGCAGAACAAUUAAGGAGCCGUUUCAAAUAUUUUUAAUUAGAAAAUAUUUUAGAAGCAUUCAUUGAUGUCUAUUGAUUAAAACAUUAUGCAAAAUACGAUUGUAAAUAUAACAUAUGUCUUGAAUACUGUCAUAUACACAGCAUUUUAACAUAAUAUUCUAACAAACCACCUGAAGAUGCAGGAAUCAAUGCUAUUUGUGACAUUGUUUCAUUGAUGAGUCAGUCUAGGUAAAUCAUUAGAUCUGAUAGCAAAAAUGUACAAAUUAAAUGGGUCCACCCAAUAGAAUGCAGCAUUGUUGUUUGAUAGUAAUUUUCCAUGAGCAUGUGAACAUUCCAACUUGUUUCAACAUUAUUUUAUCAGCCUGCAUACACUUUUGUAUAGACUCCCAUAUAACAAGAUGUAAAGGUGUGAAAAACAUAGAACGCUACUUUUUUGGAGACAUCAUAUAACUGUCACGGGCGUCGUAAGAAGUAGACCAAAGUGUGGCGUGGUGAGCGUACAUUUCUGUUUAUUUAGGUAAAUGUCGCCAACAAAACAAAGAAACGACCGUGAAGCUUAACAUAGUCAACUACCCACAAAACAACAGGGAAAGAAGGAUGCCUAAGUAUGAUUCCCAAUCAGAGAAAACUAUAGACAGCUGUCCCUGAUUGAGAACCAUACCCGGCCAAAACAUAGAAGCACAAAAACCUAGAAAAGAAAACCUAGAAUUCCCACCCAAAUCACACCCUGACCAAACCAAAAUAGAGACAUAAAAGGCUCUCUCAGGUCAGGGUGUGACCAUACCAAUUUGAUCAGGGGCUUGUGGGGAACAAUUUAAUAACAUCAAACCUUUGCCACCUCAAAGUGGACACAUUUGGACUAUUAUGCCAUUUAGCAGAUGCUUUUUUAUCCAAAGCAGUUUACAGUCGUGCGUGCAUAAUGUUUAUGUAUGGCUGGCCCCAGAAGGAAUCAAACUAUCAACCCUUGGCAUUGUAAGCUCCAUGCUUUACCAACUGAACCAUCUGGCCCAUACAGCUCGAAGAUGGCCCUGUUGAGUACGCCAGCAGCAGGUGGUGAGGGAAGGAGAAGGUAGCUAAUCAAUGGGUAUCGUUUCAAUGUUGUAUGAAUGAUCAUUUUCAUUUAUAUAUGAUCUACUAACUGCAAUAAAGAGGGAGCUUCAGAUUCAGCAGCAAUGGCAUAAAGUGGAAGGGUAUUGGACCAUCUGUUCCACAAAAUGAAACCAAAUAAAUGAGUAUAGCUAUGUUUGUUUGUAUUUUUGUUGAAAGUUUGACCUUUGACUAUACCUCUCACAGGUGGCUGCAAGCAGGCAGGCUUCAGAGCCUGGGUGUAACCCCUCCCCUCUAAUCCACUUCCAAACCCACUAGGCCCUCACUGAGAAGUCUCAGGUCUACAUCACAGCUUUGUGGUAUAAAAAGGCUUCUAGAAACAUCUAUUCAUGUCUGCUAGCUACAUUACAGCCUGUCAUCUUGUACAGCAGGGAGUAGCCUAUUGGAGUAGAUUUAUAUACAGUAUAUGCUUUGUGUUACUGCAGGACUGUUUGCAUUUACACUGAUGAAUGGCAUAUUGGCAGGCGAGGAGUAAAGAGUGGAGGGCCAUCUUCCCUGAGGGUCUGCCUCCCUCCUAUGUGUUUGUGGCCAAGAGCCCCACCGACCGUGAGAAGUUGGACCUGAUCAGAGUGCUCUCUCAGGACAGGCUGAAACAGUUCGUUGUGACACUCAAUGGGCUGGACAAGUCUGCCACCUUCACCAUCACAACCAGCAGUGUCAUCAAGAAAGAACAGUGUCAUAUUCAAUGAUCGAGGCAUUAAGGUCUGUAGAAACACACUGAAAUAAUGACCCCAAAACCUUAGGACUGGUUUCCUGGACACACAUUAAUCCUAGUACUGGGCUUUAAAGCAUAUUAAAUGGAUAGCUUAAAACUUCUUAGGGCUAGGUGUCAACGGGACACCCGUCGACAACUUCUGGUGAAAUUGGAGGGGGCGGGAUACAAAAACUGAGGCUUUACUGCGAUCCCGAGCAAAUUGAGGAAGAGACGACGUGUGAUAUAUACUCUGUGGUGAGUGUAAUGAUACUGUAACUACGAUACUCAUCGUUUACUUCCAUAUGUCACUGAAGGUUGAGGUUUAAUGCAGGGAGCCAAAGAUACAAUUAUCAUCUUCAUAUCAUUAUCUCUCUCUGUUUAUUUCUAUACAGGGGGAUGACAGGGAGUAUGCUUGUUGGUUGUCUAUGUGUUGCUCAGUUUUUACAGUACAUUUGUACACUUGUUGCGUUGUCCCUGUUAUGUUAAACUGUUUUCUGCCCCCAGUGUCUCCUGGACAGACAACCUGCAGCAGUGGAGAGCUGUAACUGCCCCCAGGGGAAACCUGGGCCUCCUGGUCUUCCUGGGCCUAUUGUGAUUAAGUAAUACCAUGUUAGACUAGAAAAGUACAUUUCCUGAAGAAAAUGUGGUGUGCUUACUAGCUUGUUUUAAUGUAUUUAUGGUUAUGAGGUAAGUUAUAGUAGUGGUAGUGACUGCAGUAGAAAUGGUAGUGACUGGUUAUAGUUGGAAAAAGUAGGUAGAUGAAGAGAUUGAACAUUUGAAAGUUGUUUUUGUGUGUCUAACGGUUCAAAAGUUACUGUUGGCGAGUUAUUUUAUGCAAAUGUAUGCACAUUUAUAUAGUUAUAGUUAUAAUUUUAUGUUAGGAUAGCCUGAACAUGUGAAAGAUGGUUUGGUGUCUCUAGCUUGAACGGCUCAAUAAUUACCAUUGGGGAGUUAUUUUAUGCACGUUUAUAUAGUUCUAGUUGAAUACAUUUUUUAGAGAUUUUGAAGUUAGGAUAGCCUGAACAUGUGAAAGUUGAUUUGGUUUAUUUCCAUUGAAAUGGAUUGGAUUUGAUUUUAAAUAUUGUCGUAGUUCAAAAAGUAAAAAUACUAUCAAAAAUGUUUUCUCAAGCAAUCUAAGUUGGUGACGUAUGCACAUCUGAAAGUUUGUUUCGUGGUAAUAUCUUAAAGCGUUUAAGCGCAAGAGUGAGCCGAAGAAAUAAAACAAUUAUUUGACUAUGUAAGAAAUCUAAUGUUGUGCUUUGCCUUCAGCAAGCACACCAAUGUAAUUUUGUACCCCUUUUUCUCCCCAAUUUCAUGUCUCAUUGCUGCAACUCCCAUAUGGACUCGGGAGAGGUGAAGCUCGAGAGCCAUAUGUCCUCUGAAACACAACCCAACCAAGCCGCACUGCUUCUUGACACAAUGCCCACUUAAUCCGGAAGCCAGCCGCACCAAUGUGUUGGAGGAAACACCGUACACCUGGUGACCGUGUCAGUGUGCCCAGCGCCCGGCCCACCACAGGAGUCGCUAGUGCGCAAUGAGACAAGGACUUCCCAGCUGGCCAAACCUUCCUGUAACUCGGACGACGCUGGUCGAUUGCAUGAAGGAUUAAUUGAUUGGUGGAUGUAUUGAUUGAGGAAAUUGAUGGAUCAUUUAUUGAGAUUUUUUUUUUAAAUGGCUCUACAAAAUGCAAACUCUUUUAUGAGAUGGGUACAGCUACUUCAUAGCAUGUCUGUUUGACCGCUGUAGGGCUUCCAAGGUGAGAAUGGGAGGGAGGGGUCACCUGGUACUGACGGUAAGCCUGGCCAAGCUCCCAGCCCUCCAGGAUCUCUGUAUCAGGUGGUGUGAAAGGAAGGCCUGGGAAAAUCUUUAGAGACUCCAGCUACCCAAGCCAUAGACUGUUCUCUCUGCUUCCGCACGGCAAGUGGUACCGCUGCACCAAGUCUGACACCAACAGGCUCUUGAACAGCUUCGAUCCCCAAGCCAUAAGACAACUAAAUAGUUAUUUUUGCACUGUCUCUAUGCACACUUACAUGAUGCUACACACUCAAGCACACUGACACACACACACGCAGACACACACAGGCAGACACUCACUUUAUUUGCUUACACGCACAUAUGUACACACAUUUAUACACACUCAAAUACAAUCAUCAUAUACGCUGCUGCUACUCUUUUUAUCAUAUAUCCUGAUGCCAAUUCACCUUACCCCUAUACAUAUCUACCUCUAUCACUCCAGUAUCCCUGCACAUUGUAAAUAUGAUAUUGGAACUGACCCUGCAAAUAGCUUACUUCUCGUGUUCUUCUUAUUUUAAUUUAGUUUGUUUUUGUUCUACCUUAUUUUACUUUUAGUGCUACAUUGAUAUUGAUUACUGGGUUUAGAGUUUGCAAGAUAUACAUUUCACUGCACUUGUGCCUGUGACAUUAAAACUUGAAACGUGA
Oncorhynchus nerka (sockeye salmon) is the source of this 5095-nucleotide long non-coding RNA. RefSeq lists it as uncharacterized. Lineage: Eukaryota; Metazoa; Chordata; Actinopteri; Salmoniformes; Salmonidae. The record is from RefSeq and is a predicted model, not a curated record. The transcript has 3 exons.